This 427-nucleotide ribosomal RNA is filed under the name uncultured bacterium. RNAcentral describes it as "partial 16S ribosomal RNA". It matches the Rfam family "Bacterial small subunit ribosomal RNA", at positions 355 to 774 of the family's 1533-position model. The record is from RNAcentral.
UGGGGAAUAUUGGACAAUGGGGGCAACCCUGAUCCAGCCAUGCCGCGUGUGUGAAGAAGGCCUUUUGGUUGUAAAGCACUUUAAGCAGUGAAGAAGACUCCAUGGUUAAUACCCAUGGACGACGACAUUAGCUGCAGAAUAAGCACCGGCUAACUCUGUGCCAGCAGCCGCGGUAAUACAGAGGGUGCGAGCGUUAAUCGGAAUUACUGGGCGUAAAGCGAGCGUAGGUGGCUUGAUAAGUCAGAUGUGAAAGCCCCGGGCUUAACCUGGGAACGGCAUCUGAUACUGUUAGGCUAGAGUAGGUGAGAGGAAGGUAGAAUUCCAGGUGUAGCGGUGAAAUGCGUAGAGAUCUGGAGGAAUACCGAUGGCGAAGGCAGCCUUCUGGCAUCAUACUGACACUGAGGUUCGAAAGCGUGGGUAGCAAACA